CCUACGUGGGGCAGCAGUGAGGAAUAUUGGUCAAUGGCCGGAAGGCUGAACCAGCCAUGCCGCGUGAAGGUCAGUGCCCUAUGGGCGUUAAACUUCUUUUGUGCGGGAGCAAUAAUGGUCACGUGUGGCCCGCCUAGAUUACCGUACGAAUAAGCAUCGGCUCACUCCGUGCCAGCAGCCGCGGUAAUACGGGGGAUGCAAGCGUUAUCCGGAUUUUUUGGUUUUAAGGGGUGCGUAGGCUGUGAGGUAAGUCAGCGGGGAAAUGCCCCCGCUCAACGGGGUGAAGUGCCAUUGAUACUGCCUGGCUGGAAUGCGGAUGCCGUGGGAGGAAUGUGUGGUGUAGCGGUGAAAUGCAUAGAUAUCACACAGAACACCGAUUGCGAAGGCAUCUCACGAAGCCGCGAUUGACGCUGAUGCACGAAAGCGUGGGUAUCAAACAGGAUUAGAUACCCUUGUAGUC
This 460-nucleotide ribosomal RNA is filed under the name uncultured bacterium. RNAcentral describes it as "partial 16S ribosomal RNA". It matches the Rfam family "Bacterial small subunit ribosomal RNA", at positions 338 to 795 of the family's 1533-position model. The record is from RNAcentral.